This 380-nucleotide RNase P RNA is filed under the name Rhodocyclaceae bacterium. Its description in RNAcentral is "RNase P RNA component class A". It matches the Rfam family "Bacterial RNase P class A". From Rfam's summary of the family: Ribonuclease P (RNase P) is a ubiquitous endoribonuclease, found in archaea, bacteria and eukarya as well as chloroplasts and mitochondria. Its best characterised activity is the generation of mature 5'-ends of tRNAs by cleaving the 5'-leader elements of precursor-tRNAs. Cellular RNase Ps are ribonucleoproteins. The record is from RNAcentral. Lineage: Bacteria; Pseudomonadati; Pseudomonadota; Betaproteobacteria; Rhodocyclales; Rhodocyclaceae.
AAAGUCGGCCAGGCAAUCGCUGGAUACUUCGGUAUCGGGAGGAAAGUCCGGGCUCCGCAGGGCAGGAUGCCAGCUAACGGCUGGGUGCUAUAAGUCGCAAGACCCAAGGCAACGGAAAGUGGAACAGAGAGCAGACCGCCCGCCGGGGAAACCCGGCAGGUAAGGGUGAAAGGGUGGGGUAAGAGCCCACCGCGCCGGCGGUAACGUUCGGUGGCACGCUAAACCCCAUCCGGAGCAAGACCAAAUAGGGAAGCGUCAGGCGUGGCCCACGCUGCUUCCGGGUAGGUUGCUUGAGCCUGUCGGUGACGGCAGGCCUAGAGGAAUGAUUGCCGAACCUCGCAAGAGGGGAACAGAACCCGGCUUAUCGGCCGGCUUUCCAA